RNAcentral lists this small nuclear RNA (73 nucleotides) under Plenodomus lingam JN3. Lineage: Eukaryota; Fungi; Ascomycota; Dothideomycetes; Pleosporales; Leptosphaeriaceae. The record is from RNAcentral.
CAGAAACGAUACAGAGAAGAUUAGCAUGGCCCCUGCACUAAGGAUGACACGCUCAGUAGGUCCCAAGACUCUU